CCUACGGGGGGCUGCAGUGGGGAAUAUUGGACAAUGGGGGCAACCCUGAUCCAGCCAUGCCGCGUGUGUGAAGAAGGCCCUCGGGUUGUAAAGCACUUUCAGUGAGGAAGAACGCCUGGUGGUUAAUACCCAUCAGGAAAGACAUCACUCACAGAAGAAGCACCGGCUAACUCCGUGCCAGCAGCCGCGGUAAUACGGAGGGUGCGAGCGUUAAUCGGAAUUACUGGGCGUAAAGCGCGCGUAGGUGGCUUGAUAAGCCGGUUGUGAAAGCCCCGGGCUCAACCUGGGAACGGCAUCCGGAACUGUCAAGCUAGAGUGCAGGAGAGGAAGGGAGAAUUCCCGGUGUAGCGGUGAAAUGCGUAGAGAUCGGGAGGAAUACCAGUGGCGAAGGCGGCCUUCUGGACUGACACUGACACUGAGGUGCGAAAGCGUGGGUAGCAAACAGGAUUAGAUACCCUAGUAGUC
Molecule: ribosomal RNA, 465 nt
Filed under: Vreelandella stevensii
Lineage: Bacteria; Pseudomonadati; Pseudomonadota; Gammaproteobacteria; Oceanospirillales; Halomonadaceae
Description: partial 16S ribosomal RNA
Rfam family: Bacterial small subunit ribosomal RNA
Source: RNAcentral